This 450-nucleotide ribosomal RNA is filed under the name uncultured bacterium. RNAcentral describes it as "bacterial SSU rRNA". It matches the Rfam family "Bacterial small subunit ribosomal RNA", at positions 355 to 825 of the family's 1533-position model. The record is from RNAcentral.
UCGGGAAUUUUGGGCAAUGGGCGAAAGCCUGAUGGAGCGACGUCGCGUGAUGGACGAAGUGCUUCGGCACGUAAACAUCUUUUAUGUGGGAUGAAAUUAUUGACAGUACCACAUGAAUAAGGGGCUCCUAACUCUGUGCCAGCAGGAGCGGUAAUACAGAGGCCCCAAGCGUUAUCCGGAAUCACUGGGCGUAAAGGGUGUCGAGGCGGUUGUAUUAGUCGUUCGUAAAAUCUACGAGCUUAACUUGUAGGCGGCGAACGAAACGGUACGACUUGAGGUUUGGAGAGGUGCGUGGAACUCACGGUGUAGGGGUGAAAUCCGUUGAUAUCGUGGGGAACACCAAAGGCGAAGGCAGCGCACUGGCCAAAAUCUGACGCUCACACACGAAAGCUAGGGUAGCGAAGAGGAUUAGAUACCCAAGUAGUCCCUGAGCGGGCUGGCAAGGCGCAU